This is a long non-coding RNA of Neopelma chrysocephalum (saffron-crested tyrant-manakin), 963 nucleotides long. RefSeq lists it as uncharacterized. Lineage: Eukaryota; Metazoa; Chordata; Aves; Passeriformes; Pipridae. The record is from RefSeq and is a predicted model, not a curated record. The transcript has 3 exons.
UCCUGUAACACUGAUUUUGUUUGACUCUCUCAUCCUAGCCAAGCAUGACUUGUUGAGCUUUUGAGGUCAUAGCCUCAGGCAACAUGGGGUAAAGAAUAACCAAGACAAUCUGGAUUGUGAUGCAACUGCAUAAUAGUCUAUGACAAAAGUGCUUAAUACCUUAAUUUAUGUCAUUGCCAAAGACAGCAGUCUUCCAGUUAAAGGACAAGAUCAGCUGGACAAGAUUUACAGUCCAUAGAAAAGUCUGAGAAAAGCCUGAUUGAUUUUGAUCUGCUGAAUAAUUAACACACAAGUGAGAGACAAAAAGCCACCAACAGGGGUCUUGAUCCAUAAGAGUUGUUAAGGAGCAUACCUACAGUGCAGCUAAUAGGAAGCAAGUCAAAGAGGAUAGCUGGUCAUAACCAUAAGGAACUCAGGGCAGCAGCUAAACAUGUACUGGAAACCACUUCCUGAGACAGUCACACCCCUCCCAUCACAGAUCCACACCAGAAAUUCCUCAAUGGACCACAAGCAGUUGAAGACAGACAAGUGUGAACAUAAGCCUAUGUUGGGUGUUGCAUUUGGCAGAUUUAAAGGCAAGAGCAAGCAUCGGUUUUCAUGCAAAAAGGCUCCACCCACACCCUAAAACCAGAUGAUUUUAGCUUUUUGCUUGCUAUUCUUGAGAAGUAUAUUUUCAACUAGCUACCAAAAACUCCACUUAACAACAAGACUUUCCCCAGAAGAAUACCAUUCAUUUCCAUUGCAUCUUUCCCAAGGGAGGGGAGCAGGGGAGAGAACCCAAGGGAACACACUUCCUCUCUCUCUUUUAUGUGGGUGCGAUGAGCCUCUUCCAAAAUGACUCAGGGGCAACAAAGGAAAGAUGUUUUUCCUCUUUCUCAUGUCUGUUCGUUGUCAGAUCUUCUGCAAGCAGAGAUAAGAGCAAAGUCCCCUUCCAGUCACGCGGCAGAGUAAUAUCAGUAGUAU